This 467-nucleotide ribosomal RNA is filed under the name uncultured bacterium. RNAcentral's name for it is "partial 16S ribosomal RNA". It matches the Rfam family "Bacterial small subunit ribosomal RNA", at positions 28 to 507 of the family's 1533-position model. The record is from RNAcentral.
GACGAACGCUGGCGGCGUGCUUAACACAUGCAAGUCGAACGGAAAGGCCUAGCUUGCUGGGUACUCGAGUGGCGAACGGGUGAGUAACACGUGUGUGAUCUGCCCCUCACUUUGGGAUAAGCCUGGGAAACUGGGUCUAAUACCGGAUAUUCAUUUUUCCUCGCUUGGGGAUUUGUGGAAAGCUUUUGCGGUUGGGGAUGGGCCCGCGGCCUAUCAGCUUGUUGGGGGGGUAAUGGACUACCAAGGCAACGACGGGUAGCCGACCUGAGAGGGGAGUAGGCCCCGCCAGGAUUGGAAUGAGGCACAGCCUACUAUGGGACGCGGCGGUGGAGAAGAUUGUACAAGGGGAGCGAGGCUGGUGUGACGACGCCGCGUGGGGGAUGACGGCCUUGGGGUUGUAAACCUCAUUCAGCUUAGACGAAGCGAAAGUGACGGUAGGGGCAGAAGAAGCACCGGCCAACUACGUG